GAUGAACGCUGGCGGCGUGCUUAACACAUGCAAGUCGAACGGGAACCUUUGGAUUCGUCUGAGGGUGAGAGUGGCGAACGGGUGAGUAACACGUUGGUGACCUGCCCCAAAGAGGGGGAUAACUACUGGAAACGGUAGCUAAUACCCCAUGUGAUCUUAGAGUUUGGAUACUUGAAGAUGAAAGCUCUGGCGCUUUGGGAGGGGCCUGCGGCCCAUCAGCUAGUUGGUAGGGUAAAAGCCUACCAAGGCAAAGACGGGUAGGGGGCGUGAGAGCGUGACCCCCCACACUGGCACUGACACACGGGCCAGACUCCUACGGGUGGCUG
This 326-nucleotide ribosomal RNA is filed under the name uncultured Chloroflexota bacterium. RNAcentral describes it as "bacterial SSU rRNA". It matches the Rfam family "Bacterial small subunit ribosomal RNA", at positions 28 to 351 of the family's 1533-position model. Lineage: Bacteria; Bacillati; Chloroflexota. The record is from RNAcentral.